AUUCUAAUUAAAAUACUUGCAGCAUAAUUAAUUAAUUAUUGUUUGACUAAUUUUAAUUUAGUUUAACAUUAUUUGAUUAACUGUGAUGAAUUUAUC
RNAcentral lists this microRNA precursor (96 nucleotides) under Daucus carota subsp. sativus. RNAcentral describes it as "sRNA DCAR_mi00239". Lineage: Eukaryota; Viridiplantae; Streptophyta; Magnoliopsida; Apiales; Apiaceae. The record is from RNAcentral.